AACGAACGCUGGCGGCAUGCCUAACACAUGCAAGUCGAACGAUGCUUUCGGGCAUAGUGGCGCACGGGUGCGUCACGCGUGGGAAUCUGCCCUUGUGUUCGGCCUAACAGUGAGAAAUUGCUGCUAAUACCGGACGAUGUCUUCUGACCAAAGAUUUAUCGCCCAGGGAUGAGCAGUCGUAGGAUUAGCUAGUUGGUGGGGUAAUGGCCUACCAAGGCGUGGAUCGUUAGCUGGUCUGAGAGAAUGAGCAGCCACACUGGGACUAAGACACGGCCCAGACUCCUACGGGAGGGAGCAGUGGCGAAUAGUGCAAAAUGGGGUCAGGCCUGAACCAGUAAGGCCGCUAGAGUGAUGAAGGCAUUAGGGAAGUAAAGCUCAUGUAACCGGGAUGAUAAUGACAGUACCGGGAGAAUAAGCUCCGGCUAACUCCGUG
Molecule: ribosomal RNA, 433 nt
Filed under: uncultured bacterium
Lineage: Bacteria
Description: partial 16S ribosomal RNA
Rfam family: Bacterial small subunit ribosomal RNA
Source: RNAcentral